CCCGCUGAACUUAAGCAUAUCAAUAAGCGGAGGAAAAGAAACUAACAAGGAUUCCCCUAGUAACUGCGAGUGAAGCGGGAAAAGCUCAAAUUUAAAAUCUGGCAGCCAUUUUACGGUUGUCCGAGUUGUAAUCUAGAGAAGUGCUUUCCGUGCUGGACCGUGUACAAGUCUCUUGGAAUAGAGCAUCAUAGAGGGUGAGAAUCCCGUCUUUGACACGGACAACCGAUGCUUUUGUGAUGCGCUCUCGAAGAGUCGAGUUGUUUGGGAAUGCAGCUCAAAAUGGGUGGUAAAUUCCAUCUAAAGCUAAAUAUUGGCGAGAGACCGAUAGCGAACAAGUACCGUGAGGGAAAGAUGAAAAGCACUUUGGAAGGAGAGUUAAACAGUACGUGAAAUUGUUGAAAGGGAAACGUUUGAAGUCAGUCGCGUCGGCCGAGACUCAACCUGGGCUUCUGCCCGGUGCACUUCUCGGUUGACGGGUCAGCAUCAAUUUUGACCGCCGGAUAAAGGUUGGGGGAAUGUGGCAUCCUUCGGGAUGUGUUAUAGACCUCGAUUCGGAUACGGCGAUUGGGAUUGAGGAACUCGGCGCUCUGCGUCCAGGAUGCUGGCAUAAUGGCUUUAAGCGACCCGUCUUGAAACACGG
RNAcentral lists this ribosomal RNA (640 nucleotides) under uncultured fungus. Its description in RNAcentral is "eukaryotic LSU rRNA". It matches the Rfam family "Eukaryotic large subunit ribosomal RNA", at positions 24 to 664 of the family's 3401-position model. Lineage: Eukaryota; Fungi. The record is from RNAcentral.